Etheostoma cragini (Arkansas darter) is the source of this 242-nucleotide long non-coding RNA. RefSeq lists it as uncharacterized. The record is from RefSeq and is a predicted model, not a curated record. The transcript is spliced from 2 exons. Lineage: Eukaryota; Metazoa; Chordata; Actinopteri; Perciformes; Percidae.
ACAAAAGUGGCCUGAAGUUUAUGCUUGUGCGUCGAUCUCUUCAGGAGAACAGCACGGCCGGCCUGUGUUUGUGCGUGGGGAGUUGAGGACUCGAGAGAGGCAUAGUGAGAGAAACAAAGUGUCUACCUUGUUCUUUCUGACCAUGGUUGGAAAUCUGUAGAAGGAAAAGUUAACCCUCUCCUUGAUGUCAUGUUGUUUAAAGAGAAGCACAACCCGGAAUGAGUCAGGGGAAAGGCAACGCU